This 202-nucleotide unclassified non-coding RNA is filed under the name soil metagenome. Its description in RNAcentral is "partial internal transcribed spacer 1". The record is from RNAcentral.
CCGAGUUUACAACUCCCAAACCCAAUGUGAACGUUACCAAACUGUUGCCUCGGCGGGAUCUCUGCCCCGGGUGCGUCGCAGCCCCGGACCAAGGCGCCCGCCGGAGGACCAACCAAAACUCUUAUUGUAUACCCCCUCGCGGGUUUUUUUUAUAAUCUGAGCCUUCUCGGCGCCUCUCGUAGGCGUUUCGAAAAUGAAUCAA